Molecule: long non-coding RNA, 2967 nt
Organism: Nematostella vectensis (starlet sea anemone)
Lineage: Eukaryota; Metazoa; Cnidaria; Anthozoa; Actiniaria; Edwardsiidae
Exons: 3
Source: RefSeq, a predicted model, not a curated record
CUUUGGUCUGGCCUGCUGGAGGGAUAUAUGUAGACCGGGGCGUCAGGGCUUCAAGACUUGGCUUGGGUGGCAUAAUGGGUGAAGGAAUUUGAAAUCGACGCUUAGUAGGCGCCGUGGUGGUGCUGCCUGAACUGCUGCAAUACAUUCAACCUUUAAAACUGCAAAAAAGAGGCAGAAAAGCAUGGACGAUGGCAAUGAAGCCGAAUUUAAACGAUAUCAAAGAUACGGCAAAAGGAUGAGAAAGAAAUUGAAGUUUAGAGGUGAUAUGAUGAGAGAGGAAGAAAGAGAAACAGAACUCGGGAAGACAGUCAUCCUAGAGCUGAUGAUCACUAAGAUCGUCCCGCCACAGGAGCAGCCUUGAUAUAGCCACCCCCCUCUGUAAAACAAGGCUUUUUCCAAAUUCAUUUCAAUCGAAAUUCAAUUCAAUUCAAUCGAAUUCCAAAGGUGUGAAAUACACUCCCUGUAGAUAUACGCACUACAUCAUCACUACCCUCUUUUAAAAACAAACAAACAGUCAGAUAUAGCCAGGCGCUACAAGCUACUUUUAAUGCCGAAAAUGCAGUUACAUGGAAAUCAGUUUGUCCUAAGUGCUGCCGCGCUAGAAGUAUUCUUUCGCAACCAUCCUGUUGCUAUUAGCAAUUUAGAGUAGGGCUUUUCUCAAAUUACUUUUUCUUCAUGUUUACCUUCAUUUUGUUGUUGUCGUUAUUGCCAAUUAUUUUGUCCUUUAUUGUGAAGGGUUACACUUGAGUUGGAGCCGUGCUCUGUUGUGUAAACCUUACCGCUAUUUCAAUAUGUGUUAUAGUGGUAGAAGCCUUAUAAAUAAAUAAAUAAAUAAAUAAAUAAAUAAAUAAAUAAAUAAAUAAAUAAAUAAAUAAAUAAAGGAAUCAGAUGGCGAGGAGGGAUACAGGUGAGACCACUUAAGUGGCGCUCUACGGAAGUAAUUAAUUUCUUUAGUGAACUUGAUGGAAGGCGUGGCCAGUUACAGACGCCACAACAGAAGAGACAGACAAACAAAAGAGUGGUAGGGGACAGCAGUGAUCGGACAAGUGAGGCUGUUCCAGAUGAACUAAGAGAGGUAUCUGAGGACUAGAAAGUUGAGUCAAUUAAGUGGCUGUCUCUGUAAGGGCGUUCCACUGAAAUUGGGGAGUCCGUACAACCCCAUCCGAAAAUCAUAUGGCAGAAGCCCCUAUACCUACUUCAGAAAUAAUAUCCGAUUUGGGAUUAGUUUGUUUUUCUUCGCGUUUCCCUGAAUUUUGUCAGACAAGGUGUGGGUGCGAAAACUCGGCGUCCUCGCUCACGGUGUUCGCUCAAUGACAGACCAAAACUACUGCAUCCCAAGGAAAGAUGGGACUCUAAUCUACUCAAUAAAUCCUGAUUUGCUAUAGUUUUUACUUCUAAAGUGGAAAAUAAUCCCCCGACAUUUUAAGAAGGUAAUCGCGGGACUGAUCAAUGAUGAAUAAUUAGCUCCAGAAAAAUUUAAUGUUUAUUUUCUAGGGUUCAAACCAAUUUUUUAUCAUGAAGCUAUAUGAUAAUCGUCACGCAAAUCAAUAUUUAAGUCGCUAUCUCGCCAAAUGAAAUAAAAAUAAAUGUAACGCCGAAUGAAAUAAAAGAUACAUUUACAUAUCUCAGUGCGUAGCGGGGCUUCAAAUACUGUGGGGAACAACCAGAUAAUAUGUUGUAUAUUAGCAUAAAUUAGACACGUGCCUAGAGCUUCACUUCCAUGUGAGAGGUCGGCCAUGUUGGAAUGCCUUCGCACAGGCAUGAAUAAAAGCUUGUUUUGUUAAAUAUUACUCGGCUUCUUCAUAAUAUGAUGCGAUAAAUAUUACUAACUUCCAUACAAAACACCGGCAAACAUUAUGUAACAAUUAGAUUGGUGGCAUAUUUUCAACUGUACUGUGGUUUAUUUUCGAAGACAUACGAUAGUAAAAUUUUCUUGAUUUUAUCCGUACCUUCAAUUUUUUUGGGAAGAGGAACGACCUAGAACCCAGGCCAAGGGCGCUGGGCCACUAUUUCAAAUCUAAUGCCUCACGAUACACACGCAUAAAAGUAUCUUUGGAUUUAUGCGUCCUUCUAUUUCAUUUUGCAAAUCUCAUGAUUAGUGGCAAGUGCACCCGUCAAGUACAUCAUUUAAUAACUGCACGAGUUCCGAUUUGCGAUUAUUUGAACGGAAAGGGACUUCGAAGUAAUCAAGAAUGCGUUUAAGCAUUGCCAUAUCAAAGGAAGAAACUCGCAUAGUAUUCACAAAGGUCGAAAGUGUCAUAGAUGAUAGGGUGCUUGAGGCCCAGCUGAUCGUCAAUCUCUUCCAUGAGCUCUGUAAAUUCACUCUCCCUAUCGGUCAUGUGUUCAUAAUAGCUCUCCUCAUCGGAAAGUCCGCGCCCUCUUCGUUGUUGCGCCGCAAGUCUUGAAAAGAACCCUGCUACUUGCGUUUUCGAAAGCCAUUCCUCUCUUAAGAAAAUCCGCUCAUUCCUGGCGUUACGCAUCUCCUACGAGACUUGUCCCGGGUCUGCUUUGCGCCCAGUUUUUUCUCCCAUCUCAAAUUUUCUCUUCAAGUAAACUCGAACAUUGUCACUUAACCUAGUACUUCCUUUUCUUGUCUUUCCCAAUGCCCAGCCCAUGCCCAACGAUGACGCCCCUCUCUCACCGUUCUCACUCCCACUCCCAUUAACAACUCGGUAAUUUUUUAACAUUAGAAAACAUCCGCGCCUAGUCUCUGCGCACCCCGUCAUAAAAUGUCUCUUUGUGAAUACCGAGAUCCACAUAAAGCUCUUGUUGUCGCAAAUUGUCAUAGCACGCGUUGGUUCCUUCUGGACACUAAUAGGACAGCUCUUCUUCUUCUUCGUUUCCUGGAUAGGUUGGUACGUCUCGCUGUGGAAGCUCUCUCAACUCAUUUGUCGAGAAAAAGGAUAGUUUCUUGGUGUUACGGAGCACCAGCACCAAAAACACAAUAGAACAAAAGCCAAAAAUAAA